GCCCGGGUGGUGGAAUGGCAGACACAAGGGACUUAAAAUCCCUUGGGGAGAAAUCCCCGUGCGGGUUCGACCCCCGCCCCGGGCA
Molecule: transfer RNA, 85 nt
Filed under: Verrucomicrobia subdivision 6 bacterium BACL9 MAG-120507-bin52
Lineage: Bacteria; Pseudomonadati; Verrucomicrobiota; Verrucomicrobiia; Verrucomicrobiales; Verrucomicrobia subdivision 6
Also listed under: 8 other names
Description: tRNA-Leu
Rfam family: tRNA
About the family: Transfer RNA (tRNA) molecules are approximately 80 nucleotides in length.
Source: RNAcentral